ACAUUGGUGAUUCAAUGAUAGAAUUCUUGUCUUUCAUGCAGGAGACCCAGGUUCAAUUCCCAGCCAGAGCA
RNAcentral lists this transfer RNA (71 nucleotides) under Loxodonta africana (African savanna elephant). It matches the Rfam family "tRNA". From Rfam's summary of the family: Transfer RNA (tRNA) molecules are approximately 80 nucleotides in length. Their secondary structure includes four short double-helical elements and three loops (D, anti-codon, and T loops). Further hydrogen bonds mediate the characteristic L-shaped molecular structure. tRNAs have two regions of fundamental functional importance: the anti-codon, which is responsible for specific mRNA codon recognition, and the 3' end, to which the tRNAs corresponding amino acid is attached (by aminoacyl-tRNA synthetases). tRNAs cope with the degeneracy of the genetic code in two manners: having more than one tRNA (with a specific anti-codon) for a particular amino acid; and 'wobble' base-pairing, i.e. permitting non-standard base-pairing at the 3rd anti-codon position. Lineage: Eukaryota; Metazoa; Chordata; Mammalia; Proboscidea; Elephantidae. The record is from Rfam by way of RNAcentral.